AUCAUGAGUUCACAUGUCCGCAUGAUUAAAGGUAUUUUCCGGUAGACGAUGGGGAUGCGUUCCAUUAGAUAGUAGGCGGGGUAACGGCCCACCUAGUCAACGAUGGAUAGGGGUUCUGAGAGGAAGGUCCCCCCCAUUGGAACUGAGACACGGUCCAAACUCCUACGGGAGGCAGCAGUGAGGAAUAUUGGUCAAUGGGCGAUGGCCUGAACCAGCCAAGUAGCGUGAAGGAUGACUGCCCUAUGGGUUGUAAACUUCUUUUAUAAAGGAAUAAAGUCGGGUAUGCAUACCCGUUUGCAUGUACUUUAUGAAUAAGGAUCGGCUAACUCCGUGCCAGCAGCCGCGGUAAUACGGAGGAUCCGAGCGUUAUCCGGAUUUAUUGGGUUUAAAGGGAGCGUAGAUGGAUGUUUAAGUCAGUUGUGAAAGUUUGCGGCUCAACCGUAAAAUUGCAGUUGAUACUGGAUGUCUUGAGUGCAGUUGAGGCAGGCGGAAUUCGUGGUGUAGCGGUGAAAUGCUUAGAUAUCACGAAGAACUCCGAUUG
This 541-nucleotide ribosomal RNA is filed under the name uncultured Bacteroidota bacterium. RNAcentral's name for it is "bacterial SSU rRNA". It matches the Rfam family "Bacterial small subunit ribosomal RNA", at positions 173 to 715 of the family's 1533-position model. The record is from RNAcentral. Lineage: Bacteria; Pseudomonadati; Bacteroidota.